GAUGAAGAACGUAGCGAAAUGCGACAAGUAAUGUGAAUUGCAGAAUUCAGUGAAUCAUCGAAUCUUUGAACGCACAUUGCGCCCUUUGGUAUUCCAAAGGGCAUGCCUGUUCGAGCGUCAUUUGUACCCUCAAGCUUUGCUUGGUGUUGGGCGUCUUGUCUCUAGCUUUGCUGGAGACUCGCCUUAAAGUAAUUGGCAGCCGGCCUACUGGUUUCGGAGCGCAGCACAAGUCGCACUCUCUAUCAGCAAAGGUCUAGCAUCCAUUAAGCCUUUUUUUCAACUUUUGACCUCGGAUCAGGUAGGGAUACCCGCUGAACUUAAGCAUAUCAAUAAGCGGAGGA
This 341-nucleotide unclassified non-coding RNA is filed under the name soil metagenome. RNAcentral describes it as "partial contains 5.8S ribosomal RNA, internal transcribed spacer 2, and large subunit ribosomal RNA". The stretch from base 1 to 120 matches the Rfam family "5.8S ribosomal RNA", at positions 35 to 154 of the family's 154-position model. The record is from RNAcentral.